GUCACUUCGGGAACAUCUGAUAAAUUGAAACGAUACAGAGAAGAUUAGCAUGGCCCUGAGCUAGGAUGACAUGCACAAAUUGAGAAAUAGUCUAAAUUUUU
Small nuclear RNA from Solanum dulcamara, 101 nucleotides. Lineage: Eukaryota; Viridiplantae; Streptophyta; Magnoliopsida; Solanales; Solanaceae. The record is from RefSeq and is a predicted model, not a curated record.